Small nucleolar RNA from Pongo abelii (Sumatran orangutan), 104 nucleotides. NCBI's taxonomy places the organism in Eukaryota, Metazoa, Chordata, Mammalia, Primates, Hominidae. The record is from Ensembl.
AUUCUUUUGUAGUUGAUAAGCAUGAUGACUGGAGUUUCAUGUGCAUGUGUGAGACGUACCUCCCUCCAACCUUGUUACCACAUCUGCACAUUACCUGCCUGAUG